UGGGGAAUCUUGCGCAAUGGGCGAAAGCCUGACGCAGCCAUGCCGCGUGAGUGAUGAAGGCCUUAGGGUUGUAAAACUCUUUCACCGGGGACGAUAAUGACGGUACCCGGAAAAGAAGCCCCGGCUAACUUCGUGCCAGCAGCCGCGGUAAUACGAAGGGGGCUAGCGUUGCUCGGAAUUACUGGGCGUAAAGGGCGCGUAGGCGGAUCAGCAAGUUGGGGGUGAAAGCCCGGGGCUCAACCUCGGAAUUGCCUUCAAAACUGCUGAUCUAGAGUACGGGAGAGGUGUGUGGAACUCCGAGUGUAGAGGUGAAAUUCGUAGAUAUUCGGAAGAACACCAGUGGCGAAGGCGACACACUGGCCCGUUACUGACGCUGAGGCGCGAAAGCGUGGGGAGCAAACAGGAUUAGAUACCCUGGUAGUCCACGCUGUAAACGAUGAUUGCUAGUUGUCGGCAGGCAUGCCUGUCGGUGACGCAGCUAACGCAUUAAGCAAUCCGCCUGGGGAGUACGGUCGCAAGAUU
This 522-nucleotide ribosomal RNA is filed under the name uncultured bacterium. RNAcentral describes it as "partial 16S ribosomal RNA". It matches the Rfam family "Bacterial small subunit ribosomal RNA", at positions 355 to 895 of the family's 1533-position model. The record is from RNAcentral.